UAGCUUUGUGUUUCUUGUGCCAUGAGAGCAUUCGUUCAUUCUGCAAGAGAGAUUCGUGAAAGGUUCUUGGACUCUUCCAAAGAAGAAAUUUUUUAUUCAAACCUCCCUAGACAUCUGUUACUGACUACUAAUUCAAAAUAAAAUAGAAUUCUACUAUUAGCUGGAAACAAGAUGCCAGCACUUCAACAGUGAGUGCAUCCCCCUUCUCACUAGCGUUGUUCAUUAUGGGUUAUUGAAGAAGCCUAUGUUUCUUUCUGAGGUAUCUUGUCCAAAUUGCUCCCAGUCCGAUUCUUUUGUUGUAUGUGCUUGGAUGGCCAUAUGCUUCAUUCUCACACAAGCUGAAAGGCUCUUUUCUUUAACUAUG
RNAcentral lists this long non-coding RNA (364 nucleotides) under Manihot esculenta (cassava). RNAcentral describes it as "long non-coding RNA (MESC_LNC003168)". The record is from RNAcentral. Lineage: Eukaryota; Viridiplantae; Streptophyta; Magnoliopsida; Malpighiales; Euphorbiaceae.